ACGCAAUUACGCAACAACGUCCGUUCUCAGCCUUCAAGUUCCAUGGUUUUCCGGUUGCUAACCCUCCUUUUGCCGGUAGAUAACGUGAUCAACAAAUCCCUAGUGUAAAAUAUGGUUUAGAUACUAGAAAAACAAGAAAGAUUACUGGACUCAAGUAGAUGCUAUUAUAAGAUUGAAAUCCAUAUAUUAUUUUGUGAGAUUGAUGGUUGUUUUAUUUAUUAAUUUUUAUACCAUCUAUGCCUGGAGUUUAAUUGAAGCUGCUAGGGUUCCAAACAGUUCGUUAACCUUGUUUUCUUUUCUUACUACACUACGAAUUUCUAUACUCUUCACGGACAUCCAUGAUGUUCUACCAGUGUUAAUGGCGAUAUGAGGCUUCUUUAAUUUCCAAGGUAAUAAGUUCAGUCUUUUUCAAUUAAUCUGAGUAAAUUUUCUAUCCCUUUUCGAUCUAUAUAUCUUCGUCGAUUUUAUUGCUCCAGGAUGGAAUGAUCAUGGCGUCAUUCUCUUGGAACAAGUUGAUUAUAAGAGUCAGGCUCCCACAAUUUUGAUGGAAAUUAAUUAUCAACGUUGUAUUUAUUGGUAUAUAUAUUUUUUAUAAAUGGUUUUGCACUAAUAUGGAUGGAGAAAAUUCAAUGAUAAGAAUAAACACGAUCAUAAUCCUUUUGAAUUUAUAGUUAUGAUUCCCAAAAGCACAAGGAAAGUAAUAGACAGCAGGGAGCAACACAACGUGACGAAAGAGAUAACCUUGGACUGUUAUUUGAUGAUAUAGAUCCGUGGGACAGUUGAUUAAGAAUAGUGAUUUGAUGAAUAAGGUGGUGGAUCCUCAAAUUAACAUACGUUAUAAGCUAUAUAUAACUAUAUCAUAAAUGAUAAAACUAUGAGAAGUUAAAUAUCAUCCAACCAAAUCUACCAAAUCUUCC
RNAcentral lists this long non-coding RNA (917 nucleotides) under Lactuca sativa (garden lettuce). Its description in RNAcentral is "long non-coding RNA (LSAT_LNC003764)". Lineage: Eukaryota; Viridiplantae; Streptophyta; Magnoliopsida; Asterales; Asteraceae. The record is from RNAcentral.